CCUACGGGAGGCUGCAGUGAGGAAUAUUGGUCAAUGGACGAGAGUCUGAACCAGCCAAGUAGCGUGAAGGAUGACUGCCCUAUGGGUUGUAAACUUCUUUUAUAUGGGAAUAAAACGUUCCACGUGUGGGAUUUUGUAUGUACCAUAUGAAUAAGGAUCGGCUAACUCCGUACCAGCAGCCGCGGUCAUACGGCGGGUCCGAGCGUUUCCCGGUUUUAUUGGGUUUAAAGGGAGCGUAGGUGGAUUGUUAAGUCAGUUGUGAAAGUUGGCGGCUCAACCGUAAAAUUGCAGUUGAAACUGGCAGUCUUGAGUACAGUAGAGGUGGGCGGAAUUCGUGGUGUAGCGGUGAAAUGCUUAGAUAUCACGAAGAACUCCGAUUGCGAAGGCAGUUCACUGGACUGCAACUGACACUGAGGCUCGAAAGUGUGGGUAUCAAACAGGAUUAGAUACCCCAGUAGUC
Molecule: ribosomal RNA, 460 nt
Filed under: uncultured bacterium
Lineage: Bacteria
Description: partial 16S ribosomal RNA
Rfam family: Bacterial small subunit ribosomal RNA
Source: RNAcentral